AUGCACGCUGGCGGCGUGCCUCAUACAUGCACGUCGAGCGAACGGACGAGAAGCUUGCUUCUCUGAUGUUAGCGGCGGACGGGUGAGUAACACGCGGAUAACCUACCUAUAAGACUGGGAUAACUUCGGGAAACCGGAGCUAAUACCGGAUAAUAUUUUGAACCGCAUGGUUCAAAAGUGAAAGACGGUCUUGCUGUCACUUAUAGAUGGAUCCGCGCUGCAUUGGCUAGUUGGUAAGGUAACGGCUUACCAAGGCAACGAUGCAUAGCCGACCUGAGAGGGUGAUCGGCCACACUGGAACUGAGACACGGUCCAGACUCCUACGGGAGGCAGCAGUAGGGAAUCUUCCGCAAUGGGCGAAAGCCUGACGGAGCAACGCCGCGUGAGUGAUGAAGGUCUUCGGAUCGUAAAACUCUGUUAUUAGGGAAGAACAUAUGUGUAAGUAACUGUGCACAUCUUGACGGUACCUAAUCAGAAAGCCACGGCUAACUACGUG
Molecule: ribosomal RNA, 496 nt
Filed under: uncultured bacterium
Lineage: Bacteria
Description: partial 16S ribosomal RNA
Rfam family: Bacterial small subunit ribosomal RNA
Source: RNAcentral